UUUAGUUGUGAUUUCUUGAGGAGAUGAGUUGGUAAUUGUGUGAGAAUGUUUGUGGCAGCAAAGGUCCUCCAAGAAUUAAAAGAAAUAGAUGCAUGCUUGUGGGUAAAUCUUGGAAUCCUUGGUGAUUUAGCACUAGAUAAGUUAUGGGAAGCGUAUAAGUAGAGAAGUUGCUGUGGUGGCGUGCUAGAGGAAGUAAUGGGUGACCGGCAAGUAGAAUUAGCUAGAUACGCAUCCGAGUCAAUAGCGAAGUAGUAUCCCACUAUUGUGAGAUAGUGAUCGGCUAGCGUGCAAUCAUCGGCACUUAUGGUUCACCACGGAUAGGUAAAGGCAUCUUAUAGCAUUUCAUUCUAAGUCACUCCGCUAUUAGAGGUCGAGUCAUUCGUAGCAUAAUUUGAUUGUAAAUAGUAUUAAUGUAAAGGUAUGGUUGGAUAUUAAAAACCUUUAUGUACUUCUACAAUUAUGUUGAAUAAAAGUUGAGUUGAUUUAUCAUA
Molecule: small RNA, 491 nt
Filed under: Theobroma cacao (cacao)
Lineage: Eukaryota; Viridiplantae; Streptophyta; Magnoliopsida; Malvales; Malvaceae
Description: sRNA Tc03v2_g004270
Source: RNAcentral